CCUGAUAAACCCAAAAGAUCGAAUGGGGAGAUUCAUCGUCAGCUCAUUUUGUAUAUGUAUAAGUUAUGAUGCGGGUUACUACUUGUAGUAUUGCCUGCACAUUCUUAUAUAUUUAGUUGCAAGAUGUUGUCGGCGUGCACUUCUCCCCUAGUAGAACGUCGCGACCUGUUGGGUGUCGGUCUACGGCCCAAGUGAUAGACUUUAAUGUAAUUUAAAAAGCAUUAAAGAUCCUUGGUGUUUUCUGACCGACUACUUGGCAGUAUUCGUAUGGUAUUUAGCCGCUAAAUUUAUUUAAGCGUCCAUAAUCGUCACAAGCGAGGCUAAUUUACUUGAUAGUACGGACCUAGUGCCGUCGUUGGUUUUGGCCAGCUGUUGGUUGUAUGGUAUUCUAGGACUGGCUAAAAUUAAUUACCGGUCGGCGAUGCUACUGCUUUGGGUACUUUCAGGACCCGUCUUGAAACACGGACCAAGGAGUCUAACAUGUGCGCAAGUCAUUGGGAUUUUUUUU
This 508-nucleotide ribosomal RNA is filed under the name Aleiodes sp. NHM675997. RNAcentral's name for it is "LSU rRNA". The record is from RNAcentral. Lineage: Eukaryota; Metazoa; Arthropoda; Insecta; Hymenoptera; Braconidae.